CAAAAGUUUUAAUUUGGCUUGGGAAAUUAAUGUAUAAAAUUAUUAAAUGUGAGUUUUAGCGGUUUAUUUUAAAUAAUAGGUGAUAGCAGUAAUUAGGUUUAAAUAUAUAAGAAAUUAUGAUUUAGGGAUUUAUAUAAGUAUUGACAAUAUUUGUGCCAGCAGUUGCGGUUAUACAAAUAAUGCAAUUAAUUUUAUUUAGUUAAUAAUUAAUUAUUUAGAUUAAUAAAAAAUUAUUUUUAUUUGGUGAAAUAUUUAAAAAUAUAAUUAUUAUUUAUAUUAAUAUGAUUUAUGAGAUUUAAUUUAUAAACUAGGAUUAGAUACCCUAUUAUUUUAAAUGUAAAAAAAUUACUAAAUUAGUAUUAGUUAUGUUCUUAAAAAUUAAAAAUUUUGGCGGUAUUUUAGUCUAUUUAGAGGAACCUGUUUUGUAAUUGAUAGUCCACGAUUUAUUAAACUUAUUUUAAAUAAUUUGUAUAUCGUCGUAAUAAAAUAUUUUAUAAGAAAUUAAAUAUUUAAAAUUUUUAAUAAUAAAGUAAAUCAGAUCAAGGUGCAGUUUAUAAGUAAGUAGUAAUGGGUUACAAUAAAUUUAUUUUUGAAUAAUUAAUUGAAAAUUAAUAGUUGAAAUUGGAUUUAAUAGUAAUAAUAUUUAAUUAAAUAUUAUGAUUUUAGCUCUAAAAUAUGUACAUAUCGCCCGUCGCUCUCAUAUAAAAUGAGAUAAGUCGUAACAUAGUAGGUGUACUGGAAAGUGUAUCUAGUAAGA
Molecule: non-coding RNA, 757 nt
Filed under: Staphylinidae sp. BMNH 1274240
Lineage: Eukaryota; Metazoa; Arthropoda; Insecta; Coleoptera; Staphylinidae
Source: RNAcentral